This 1864-nucleotide ribosomal RNA is filed under the name Campylobacter jejuni. Its description in RNAcentral is "partial 23S ribosomal RNA". It matches the Rfam family "Bacterial large subunit ribosomal RNA", at positions 1074 to 2925 of the family's 2925-position model. The record is from RNAcentral. Lineage: Bacteria; Pseudomonadati; Campylobacterota; Epsilonproteobacteria; Campylobacterales; Campylobacteraceae.
UGUGAAGUUACUUAAACAACCAGGAGGUUGGCUUAGAAGCAGCCAUCCUUUAAAGAAAGCGUAAUAGCUCACUGGUCUAGUGAUUUUGCGCGGAAAAUAUAACGGGGCUAAAGUAAGUACCGAAGCUGUAGACUUAGUUUACUAAGUGGUAGGAGAGCGUUCUAUUUGCGUCGAAGGUAUACCGGUAAGGAGUGCUGGAGCGAAUAGAAGUGAGCAUGCAGGCAUGAGUAGCGAUAAUUAAUGUGAGAAUCAUUAACGCCGUAAACCCAAGGUUUCCUACGCGAUGCUCGUCAUCGUAGGGUUAGUCGGGUCCUAAGUCGAGUCCGAAAGGGGUAGACGAUGGCAAAUUGGUUAAUAUUCCAAUACCAACAUUAGUGUGCGAUGGAAGGACGCUUAGGGCUAAGGGGGCUAGCGGAUGGAAGUGCUAGUCUAAGGUCGUAGGAGGUUAUACAGGCAAAUCCGUAUAACAAUACUCCGAGAACUGAAAGGCUUUUUGAAGUCUUCGGAUGGAUAGAAGAACCCCUGAUGCCGUCGAGCCAAGAAAAGUUUCUAAGUUUAGCUAAUGUUGCCCGUACCGUAAACCGACACAGGUGGGUGGGAUGAGUAUUCUAAGGCGCGUGGAAGAACUCUCUUUAAGGAACUCUGCAAAAUAGCACCGUAUCUUCGGUAUAAGGUGUGGUUAGCUUCGUACUAGGAUUUACUCCGAAAGCGAAGAAACUUACAACAAAGAGUCCCUCCCGACUGUUUACCAAAAACACAGCACUCUGCUAACUCGUAAGAGGAUGUAUAGGGUGUGACGCCUGCCCGGUGCUCGAAGGUUAAUUGAUGGGGUUAGCAUUAGCGAAGCUCUUGAUCGAAGCCCGAGUAAACGGCGGCCGUAACUAUAACGGUCCUAAGGUAGCGAAAUUCCUUGUCGGUUAAAUACCGACCUGCAUGAAUGGCGUAACGAGAUGGGAGCUGUCUCAAAGAGGGAUCCAGUGAAAUUGUAGUGGAGGUGAAAAUUCCUCCUACCCGCGGCAAGACGGAAAGACCCCGUGGACCUUUACUACAGCUUGACACUGCUACUUGGAUAAGAAUGUGCAGGAUAGGUGGGAGGCUUUGAGUAUAUGACGCCAGUUGUAUAUGAGCCAUUGUUGAGAUACCACUCUUUCUUAUUUGGGUAGCUAACCAGCUUGAGUUAUCCUCAAGUGGGACAAUGUCUGGUGGGUAGUUUGACUGGGGCGGUCGCCUCCCAAAUAAUAACGGAGGCUUACAAAGGUUGGCUCAGAACGGUUGGAAAUCGUUCGUAGAGUAUAAAGGUAUAAGCCAGCUUAACUGCAAGACAUACAAGUCAAGCAGAGACGAAAGUCGGUCUUAGUGAUCCGGUGGUUCUGUGUGGAAGGGCCAUCGCUCAAAGGAUAAAAGGUACCCCGGGGAUAACAGGCUGAUCUCCCCCAAGAGCUCACAUCGACGGGGAGGUUUGGCACCUCGAUGUCGGCUCAUCGCAUCCUGGGGCUGGAGCAGGUCCCAAGGGUAUGGCUGUUCGCCAUUUAAAGCGGUACGCGAGCUGGGUUCAGAACGUCGUGAGACAGUUCGGUCCCUAUCUGCCGUGGGCGUAAGAAGAUUGAAGAGAUUUGACCCUAGUACGAGAGGACCGGGUUGAACAAACCACUGGUGUAGCUGUUGUUCUGCCAAGAGCAUCGCAGCGUAGCUAAGUUUGGAAAGGAUAAACGCUGAAAGCAUCUAAGCGUGAAGCCAACUCUAAGAUGAAUCUUCUCUAAGCUCUCUAGAAGACUACUAGUUUGAUAGGCUGGGUGUGUAAUGGAUGAAAGUCCUUUAGCUGACCAGUACUAAUAGAGCGUUUGGCUUAUCUUUAAUAAAGCAU